CGCCUGCCCGUGAUAAAUUCAACGGCCGCGGUAUCAUGACCGUGCAAAGGUAGCGUAAUCACUUGUCUUUUAAAUAAGGACCCGUAUGAAAGGCAAAACGAAAAUUCAACUGUCUCUUUAAUCUAGUCAGUGAAAUUAAUCUCUUCGUGCAGAAGCGAAGAUAACCAUAUAAGACGAGAAGACCCUAUGGAGCUUAAAAUAUAAGACCAACUACAUUGAUGUAAAACCAACAGGUGAAAGAUGGAUACAUGUAGUCAUAGCCUGAGUUUUCGGUUGGGGCGACCACGGAAGAAAAAUAAUCCUCCGAGAUAAACAACUUAGAAAGAUACUUCAAAGACUAAAAUACUUAUUAUAAAUGAUCCACUAAGUGACCAACAAACCAAGUUACCCUAGGGAUAACAGCGCAAUCCUUUCUAAGAGUCCCUAUCGACGAAUGGGUUUACGACCUCGAUGUUGGAUCAGGACACCCAAAUGGUGCAGCCGCUAUUAAAGGUUCGUUUGUUCAACGAUUAAAGUCCUACGUGAUCUGAGUUCAGACCGG
RNAcentral lists this ribosomal RNA (541 nucleotides) under Ommatotriton ophryticus ophryticus. Its description in RNAcentral is "partial 16S ribosomal RNA". It matches the Rfam family "Bacterial large subunit ribosomal RNA", at positions 1856 to 2619 of the family's 2925-position model. The record is from RNAcentral. Lineage: Eukaryota; Metazoa; Chordata; Amphibia; Caudata; Salamandridae.